AUAUAAAUAAGCGGAGGAAAAGAAACUAAAUAGGAUUCCCAUAGUAAGGGCGACUGAAGUGGGAAAAGUUCAAAAUGAAAACUUUAAUAUAUUAAUUUAUAUUAAGGAAUGUAAUAUAUAGAAUAAUUAUCAUUGGUUAUAUAAGCUUAAAUUCUUAUUGAAAUGAGAUAUCAUGGAAGGUUAUAAUCCUGUAAAGCUUUAAAUAUAUUAAACCAUAUACGAUAUUAUAUCACAGAGUCAGGUUAUUUGAGAGUAUAACCUAAAUUUAGGUGCUACAUAUCAUCUAAAACUAAAUAUUAACGAGAGACCGAUAGCGAACAAGUACCGUGAGG
RNAcentral lists this ribosomal RNA (332 nucleotides) under uncultured Kickxellaceae. RNAcentral describes it as "partial large subunit ribosomal RNA". It matches the Rfam family "Eukaryotic large subunit ribosomal RNA", at positions 40 to 358 of the family's 3401-position model. Lineage: Eukaryota; Fungi; Kickxellomycota; Kickxellomycetes; Kickxellales; Kickxellaceae. The record is from RNAcentral.